UGAGUAGGGGACCACAGGCACUUGCCACCAUGCCCAGGUUAGACCAAGAGGACUCAAAGAAGAGGAAGAAAUCCUUGUCUUCAACAGGUCUGGUCAGCUCUGAAGAUUCCCUGAAAUGUGACAAGAGGUUUAGAAGAAAGAAGAGAAGGACUACCAGAAGAGAUGAGAGAGCCUUAGCAGCAUCCAGAGAGGAGAAGAGGGCAUGUCAUGGAAAGCUUUGAUGGAAGAUUUUUUGAGGAUGAGACCAAGGACAUGUUACAAUGUUUUGGAUCACAUCAGCAGAGGAAUCAAAGAUGACCCUGAAUUUUUGAGUUGAGGGGUCUCAUUGGAUUGUAUGGCCAAUAGCAAGGAUAGAGAAUGAAUAAAGAGGAGCAUUCCAUUUAGAUCGCUUUCAAAAUAGGAUGUACUCC
This 410-nucleotide long non-coding RNA is filed under the name Homo sapiens (human). RNAcentral's name for it is "HSALNT0113005". The record is from RNAcentral. Lineage: Eukaryota; Metazoa; Chordata; Mammalia; Primates; Hominidae.